CCGCGUGAGCCGAUGAAGCCCUUCGGAGUGUAAAGCUCUUUCGACGGGAACGAUAAUGACGGUACCCGAAGAAGAAGCUGCGGCUAACUACGUGC
This 95-nucleotide ribosomal RNA is filed under the name uncultured bacterium. RNAcentral's name for it is "partial 16S ribosomal RNA". It matches the Rfam family "Bacterial small subunit ribosomal RNA", at positions 397 to 508 of the family's 1533-position model. The record is from RNAcentral.